UGUAUCAAUGAUGAUAACCUGGCUCCCUCUUCUGAAGUCUCUGAGGAUAAAUGCCAUCGUCACCCUAUUUCUGUCUGAGAUACU
Molecule: small nucleolar RNA, 84 nt
Organism: Misgurnus anguillicaudatus (oriental weatherfish)
Lineage: Eukaryota; Metazoa; Chordata; Actinopteri; Cypriniformes; Cobitidae
Product: small nucleolar RNA SNORD100
Source: RefSeq, a predicted model, not a curated record